AUAAACGUACACAUGACAGACCAUUAACAAAAACCACAAGAAGAAAACAAAGACCAAACCAGUCAUCAUGUUCAUCAUUCUUCUAAACAUGGCCUUAGUGCGAUCCAUCUCAUUUCAGUCAUUCAUUGUUCCCUCUCUGUUUGUGAUUACGCCCUCUAAACUAUAAAAUGAAACCAAGCAGAGAUUAUUUGACAUAUAAAUGGACUAGCAUUAAUUGUUUAAAAGCUAAAAACUGUCAAUGAAAUUGAUUUUAUGAGAUUCAGAUGUGUUAUUAAUCCCUGAUGGUCAAUUCAGUCUCACAGCCUUUAGAGUCUUAUUAAAAGAAGUCAAGACAAAGUAAAGAGUUACAUUUACAUGCCAGUAACAACAGGUCACCAAAGGAGAUAACAAUCUAUUUAAAGAAACACAAUGUCAGAAAUGUCUAAGGUGAUCCUUAAAACCAGGAGGUGACUAUCCUUCCAUGUAGUUUUAAAUUGUGACUUUAGGGCACCAUCCAUUCAGGGUUGAUUAGACCAAUUUCAUAUUUUACUACAGAUCAGGUCUGUGAGAUUGAGUGGUUAUAGUUCACUCUCAGGUAUGCUGCAAGAGUUCAGCCAAGUAUGAAUUUCUAAUCUGGCUUUCUUUUUUCUUUACAGCAUCGAAAGGCAACUCAAAUAAUGUUACACUGAUUGUUGUAGCCAUCGUCUUAUCUCUUGUUGUUGUUUUGGCUGUAAUUGGAGGAUUUAUUUAUCAUCGAAGGAGAAAACAAAAUAAAGCAGAGAACAUGGAAAAUACCGUCUAUGAAGAUCCUCAGGCUGUGAAUACAGACCUCCCUCUGCAGCAGAGACCAACAAAUGAUGCCCCAGCUGGUCCUCCACCCUACAUCUACUCCUCGUUGGGGCCUCCCAUCGGCUCUGAAGCACCCACUCAGCCCAGAGACAACGCUCAGCCAGAGAGCCUGUAUGCAGAGGUGUAAAAACUUCCAAAGUCCUGAAACAGUUCACUAUGAUGUCUUCAACACACUUCUCUUGCAGGAAUGACCGCUUCAGUUUAGUUUAGUUUAGUAUCAGUGAAGGACUUCUGACUGCGUCUUCUUUUUCUGUGCGUUGGUCGUGGACUAGCUACUUGAGUCAUGAAGUUAAAAGACCCAACUACAGUCAGAUUGCUGAUUUUAUUAUGAAUUAUAACAACAAUCACCUUCUGACUGGAAUCAUUUGCCAGAUAACCUGUGAACAAUUAACUUUUCUUUUAAAAAAUGAAAUCGCCCUUCCACUGCUUCCAACCCUAAUGUCUUCCUGCUCCCUUAAUAAGGAGGCUUCUGAUUGUACAGUAAUCUUUGUAAUUACCAUCAUUAGUGUCAAUACUUACAAUGUUAUUAGUUAAUAUGUGAUGUGAAAUCUCGUGGCUGUUUACAUUGUGUGGGCGGAGUGGCAAUACAGGAUUAAUGCCCUGGUGGGUUGAUGUAUGAGUGUGUUUGUAUGUGUUGUUGAAUGUCUCUGUGUCACUUGUAAUGUUGUGUAUUCAUAUGUUGUAUGAUUCAAUACAUUUUACAUUUCAAUCUGCUGAUGAAUAAUACCAUUUGGUCUUCAGACCGAAACAAGAACUGUUUUGUUGCAGACAUUUGAGCCUCUCACCUGCAACAUCAUAAAUUAUAUGUUUAUAGAGAUCAUUUAUGUCACAUGCUAUAUGGAGACACCUUUGCUGUUAACAAUCAGUUGACUCAUACAAUAGAACUGUUUUGAUGUAGAUAUUUUAUUUUUUUAAAUUACUUUACUGUA
Labrus bergylta (ballan wrasse) is the source of this 1757-nucleotide non-coding RNA. The record is from RefSeq and is a predicted model, not a curated record. NCBI's taxonomy places the organism in Eukaryota, Metazoa, Chordata, Actinopteri, Labriformes, Labridae.